This 253-nucleotide ribosomal RNA is filed under the name uncultured bacterium. RNAcentral's name for it is "partial 16S ribosomal RNA". It matches the Rfam family "Bacterial small subunit ribosomal RNA", at positions 524 to 776 of the family's 1533-position model. The record is from RNAcentral.
UACGUAGGGGGCAAGCGUUGUCCGGAUUCAUUGGGCGUAAAGAGCGUGUAGGCGGCCAGGUAGGUCGGUUGUGAAAACUGGAGGCUCAACCUUCAGAGGUCGACCGAAACCAUCUGGCUAGAGUCCGGGAGAGGAGAGUGGAAUUCCUGGUGUAGCGGUGAAAUGCGUAGAUAUCGGGAGGAACACCUGUGGCGAAGGCGGCCCCCUGGUUGGAUACUGACGCUGAGACGCGAAAGCGUGGGGAGCAAACAGG